RNAcentral lists this ribosomal RNA (1458 nucleotides) under uncultured prokaryote. RNAcentral's name for it is "partial 16S ribosomal RNA". It matches the Rfam family "Bacterial small subunit ribosomal RNA". The record is from RNAcentral.
AUUGAACGCUGGCGGCAGGCUUAACACAUGCAAGUCGAGCGCGAAAAUCCCUUCGGGGGUGGACGAGCGGCGGACGGGUGAGUAACGCGUGGGAAUCUACCCAUUAGUGGGGGACAACCCGAGGAAACUCGGGCUAAUACCGCAUACGCUCUACGGAGAAAAGGAGGGGAUCUUCGGACCUCGUCGCUAUUGGAUGAGCCUGCGUUGGAUUAGCUAGGUGGUAGGGUAAAGGCCUACCAAGGCGACGAUCCAUAGCUGGGCUGAGAGGAUGAUCAGCCACACUGGGACUGAGACACGGCCAAGACUCCUACGGGAGGCAGCAGUGGGGAAUAUUGGACAAUGGGCGCAAGCCUGAUCCAGCAAUACCGCGUGUGUGAAGAAGGCCUGCGGGUUGUAAAGCACUUUCAGCAGCGAGGAAAAGCCUAGGGUUAAUAUCCAUGGGUCUUGACGUUAACUGCAGAAGAAGCACCGGCUAACUUCGUGCCAGCAGCCGCGGUAAUACGAAGGGUGCAAGCGUUAAUCGGAAUUACUGGGCGUAAAGCGCGCGUAGGCGGUAUUGUAAGUGGAAUGUGAAAGCCCCGGGCUCAACCUGGGAACUGCAUUCCAAACUGCAAAACUAGAGUAUGGUAGAGGAUAGUGGAAUUUCAGGUGUAGCGGUGAAAUGCGUAGAGAUCUGAAGGAACACCAGUGGCGAAGGCGACUGUCUGGACCAAUACUGACGCUGAGGUGCGAAAGCGUGGGGAGCAAACAGGAUUAGAUACCCUGGUAGUCCACGCCGUAAACGAUGUCAACUAGCCGUUGGGAGUCUUUUCCGCUUAGUGGUGCAGCUAACGCAAUAAGUUGACCGCCUGGGGAGUACGGCCGCAAGGCUAAAACUCAAAUGAAUUGACGGGGGCCCGCACAAGCGGUGGAGCAUGUGGUUUAAUUCGAAGCAACGCGAAGAACCUUCCCAGGUCUUGACAUCCAGAGAAUUUGCUAGAGAUAGCUUAGUGCCUUCGGGAACUCUGAGACAGGUGCUGCAUGGCUGUCGUCAGCUCGUGUUGUGAAAUGUUGGGUUAAGUCCCGUAACGAGCGCAACCCUUGUCCUUAUUUGCCAGCACGUAAUGGUGGGAACUCUAAGGAGACUGCCGGUGAUAAACCGGAGGAAGGUGGGGACGACGUCAAGUCAUCAUGGCCCUUACGAGCGGGGCUACACACGUGCUACAAUGGCCAGGACAAACGGCUGCAACCCCGCGAGGGUGAGCUAAUCCGAGAAACCUGGUCGUAGUCCGGAUCGCAGUCUGUAAUUCGACUGCGUGAAGUCGGAAUCGCUAGUAAUCGUGAAUCAGAAUGUAACGGUGAAUACGUUCCCGGGCCUUGUACACACCGCCCGUCACACCAUGGGAGUGGAUUGCACCAGAAGUAGCUAGCUUAACCUUCGGGAGGGCGGUUACCACGGUGUGGUUCAUGACUGGGGUG